AGCGAACGCUGGCGGCAGACCUAACACAUGCAAGUCGAACGAACCUUUCGGGGUUAGUGGCGGACGGGUGAGUAACACGUGGGAACGUGCCUUUAAGUUCGGAAUAACUCAGGGAAACUUGUGCUAAUACCGAAUGUGCCCUUCGGGGGAAAGAUUUAUCGCCUUUAGAGCGGCCCGCGUCUGAUUAGCUAGUUGGUUGAGGUAAUGGCUCACCAAGGCGACGAUCAGUAGCUGGUCUGAGAGGAUGAUCAGCCACAUUGGGACUGAGACACGACCCAAACUCCUACGGGAGGCAGCAGUGGGGAAUCUUGCGCAAUGGGCGAAAGCCUGACGCAGCCAUGCCGCGUGAAUGAUGAAGGUCUUAGGAUUGUAAAAUUCUUUCACCGGGGACGAUAAUGACGGUACCCGGAGAAGAAGCCCCGGCUAACUUCGUG
Molecule: ribosomal RNA, 434 nt
Filed under: uncultured bacterium
Lineage: Bacteria
Description: partial 16S ribosomal RNA
Rfam family: Bacterial small subunit ribosomal RNA
Source: RNAcentral